GCUCCACCUGCCCGGGUUUCUUGUUCGGAGUUUGCUCUCCUAGGUGAACUACCUACCACGGCUAACGAGCUCCACCUGCCCUGGUUUCUUGUUCGGAGUUUGCUCUCCUAGGUGAAUUACCUACCACGGCUAACGACCUCCACCUGCCCGGGUUUCUUGUUCGGAGUUUGCUCUCCUAGGUGAACUGCCUACCACGGCUAACGACCUCCACCUGCCCGGGUUUCUUGUUCGGAGUUUGCUCUCCUAGGUGAAUUACCUACCACGGCUAACGAGCUCCACCUGCCCGGGUUUGUUGUUCGGAGUUUGCUCUCCUAGGUGAAUUGCCUACCACGGCUAACGAGCUCCACCUGCCCGGGUUUGUUUAGAGUUUGCUCUCCUAGGUGAAUUGCCUGCCACGGCUAACGACCUCCACCUACCCGGGUUUGUUGUUCGGAGUUUGCUCUCCUAGGUGAAUUGCCUACCACGGCUAACGAGCUCCACCUGCCCGGGUUUGUUGUUCGGAGUUUGCUCUCCUAGGUGAAUUGCCUACCACGGCUAACGAGCUCCACCUGCCCGGGUUUGUUUAGAGUUUGCUCUCCUAGGUGAAUUGCCUGCCACGGCUAACGACCUCCACCUACCCGGGUUUGUUUAGAGUUUGCUCUCCUAGGUGAAUUGCCUACCACGGCUAACGACCUCCACCUGCCCGGGUUUGUUUAGAGUUUGCUCUCCUAGGUGAAUUGCCUACCACGGCUAAUGAGCCCCACCUGCCCGGGUUUGUUGUUCAGAGUUUGCUCUCUUAGGCAUAUUGCCU
Eriocheir sinensis (Chinese mitten crab) is the source of this 790-nucleotide long non-coding RNA. RefSeq lists it as uncharacterized. The transcript is spliced from 5 exons. NCBI's taxonomy places the organism in Eukaryota, Metazoa, Arthropoda, Malacostraca, Decapoda, Varunidae. The record is from RefSeq and is a predicted model, not a curated record.